AAUCAACGCUGGCGGCGUGCCUCAGACAUGCAAGUCGAACGCGUAAAGGUUCCCUUCGGGGGAUAAGUAGAGUGGCGUCCGGGUGAGUAACACGUAGGUAAUCUACCUUUGGGUGGGGAAUAACAACCGGAAACGGUUGCUAAUACCGCAUAAUGCAGCGGCACCACAUGGUGACAGUUGUUAAAGCGGGGGAUCGCAAGACCUCGCGCCUAAAGAGGAGCCUGCGGCGGA
RNAcentral lists this ribosomal RNA (231 nucleotides) under uncultured bacterium. RNAcentral's name for it is "partial 16S ribosomal RNA". It matches the Rfam family "Bacterial small subunit ribosomal RNA", at positions 32 to 240 of the family's 1533-position model. The record is from RNAcentral.